CAAGCACGCAAGCAAGCGAACAAAUGAGCCAGAGGGCUUGCUCUCUUGCCCUCCUUCCACAAGUGAGGGCCCAGCGAAGGCAGCCUCCUGUAGCCGGGAGGAGGCUGCACCCUGCAGCUCCUCCCGCCCCGCCCCCCAGCUAUAACCCAGUGUGUGCUGCUCAGACUGCCCGCCCUGUGGGCCUUCGUUAGGUGGCCCACGUCGGGCAGGAGACUCCCGGGCACCAGACACUGCUCCUGAGCAUGUCUUGUCCUGUCUGCCAUGGGCUUUACCCAAGCACUGCUUUUCCCCCACUGAACAGUCAAGUUUUUCUCUCAAGAUCAACCUAAGCAGUGACCAGGGCUGGAGUCUUAACCGUGCCCCAUGUCCCCAAGCCAGGGACACAGCCUCUGAGUGCCUCAGCCUCCACUCCGCGAACCAUGGACGGUCUCGGAGCCUCAAGGUGGCUGUGCGGAGGCCGAGCGGGUGGAGAACUCAUCGCGGUGCCAGGUGCAGUGAGCUGCUGUGCGGGAUGGAAUUCAGGAUUUUUCGCUUGUGAGGCAGGCGCGGUGCCACUAAGCUAAAUCCCCGGCCCUGACUAGCUCCGAAUUUACACAACCUGCAUCACCCACCCCCCACAAGGCUAAAGACAAGACGUGAGAGAUUUACAGGGACCUUCUACUUCCCAGAGACACCCACAAGCUUCCAGUCACAGCCCCAAACCUGUGGACACCCUGGAUCCAGCAGUGCAGCCCCAAAACGGACACAGUCAUCUCAGGACAGCCGAUUGGCCUGUUGGCUGAUCAGGACUUCUCUCCAGCUACCUCGCAAACCCGAACUCAGAGCAUGACCAGCCAGGCCCCAGCCCACCUCAGCCACUCCACGAAAACUGGUCUCCUUCCUUUGUGGACAGGCCAGUUUGAU
This 903-nucleotide long non-coding RNA is filed under the name Heterocephalus glaber (naked mole-rat). RNAcentral describes it as "lncRNA (ENSHGLG00100050625.1)". Lineage: Eukaryota; Metazoa; Chordata; Mammalia; Rodentia; Bathyergidae. The record is from RNAcentral.